AGCCAAAAAUAAAUAGAUAAAAUAAAUUUUAAAAAAGAGAGAGAGAGAGAGGAUCCUGAUAAUGCCCUUAGGUUUCUGCAGCAUUUUCAGAUUUCUUAUUUCAGGCAUUCUGAAGAUUUAUCUGGCCUUCACAAUAACCCUGCAAAGUAGGUGGAGGAGACACUGUUAUCCCCACUUCUCAGAAUGAAAUAGAGGCCCCAAAUGGGUAUAAGACUCCCUAGGGUCACAGAGCUGAUUGGUGCCAGAGCCCCCAGCUUGCUGGACCUGUGUCUGGAUUGUUUGACAAUGGCGAUGGGCCACCAGGCCAUUGCUCGGAUGGCUUCCUUCACAGGGGCUAGUGUUGCUGAAGAUUCACCCAGAAUCUCCAUUUUUAACUUUUAUUGCCUCAUUUAUCUGCUCUGUUCGUGACCCUGGAUGCAUCUAGGCUUAGGGAUGGACUAAGCUGCAAACAUAUGUUGCAAAUGACAAGUUGCCGUCUGGGCAGUCGCUCAGCAGGGGCCCCUCCUACUUCACUGCUCCUGGCUCAUUUGCAUUUGCUUUAUCUCUCCCUGGCUCCAAACACCUCCGAGAUUUCUGCACCUGCUUUGCCUCCGCAUAUUUGGUGUUCCUUUGGAUUUAUCUCCUGGAAUUGUAGGCCUUUGCCUGCUCCUUGAACCUCAGAAACCCUCUGACUCCAGAGUCCUCAGCCCUGUUUAAGCCCAACCACUGGUCAGGCCCGCCUUGGCCCACAUAUAUCAAAGUGUUUGUGAGGUGGGUCUCAAAAAUGUUUGGGGUCAGUCUAAGCCUACUGGAUGACUUCUUAAUUCUGGGGAAAGAAAACAUGAAAUUCUUCAUGAGCUGACUGGGCUCAUGGCCCAACUGAAAGCCACAGCUCAGGCUACUGGCUCGUGCUUCCAGUUACCACUUGCUGGGGCAGAGCCAGCCCUACCCUUUUCACUUUCCUGAAGAGAUUCUUGAGUGAUUCUAGCAAAUUUGGGGCUUUUUAGUGGGAUUUCAGCCUACUUUUUAAAAAAUUCAUUUCCUACUUUGUAGGAAUGAGUCAUCAUUUCCAUACAAAUCAGCAGCCCCCGUCCCUGAACAUGAGCGUCUUGCCCCUCAGAAUGUGUCCGCUCCAUCGGGUGGAAGGCUGUCUUAAAGGUCAGAGUUAUGCCUGGUGCCACUACGAUUAGAAUGAGAUGUUUGGUACCAUAGACCUAGUUGGGGUGGUUUGGUUGUGAGCCACAAAAAUCCAUUCUUACCACAAGCGAAAGGAUAAUUUAUUGAAAGCACGUUGGGGAGCUCAGGAGAUUGAAGGAAAGUCUUAAAGAACCAGGCUAGGAACAGAUAGGCUGAGGUAGUUUUAGAUUUCAGAAGCAAGAACUGCUUCACCAUCUCACCCAGUUGCUACCACCAAAUGAACACCAGUCAUUUCUUCCAUCCUUACAUUAUUCUUAAAGUCCCGUGAGGGAGAAAGGCUACCUCGUAGUCACAGACCACCCCAUGGAUGUACCCGGGAUGGUGAGAAGACUUCAGGGAUCUCUUUAGCUUCCUUAAAGGGAAGCAAGGACACCUUGCUCUGCUGUUCCACCAAGAUAGAACACAGUAUGGGGGAAGGAAAUGCCCAAAGAGAAUCAGGAUGCUGGUAGGAAGGCAUCCUGAAUGUUAGGUGGUUAAAAAAAAAAAAAAAGUAUGCUACAGAGAAGGCCUCUGCACUGCUGCUCCCUGAAAGUUAUCAUGGGCAGCUCCACUUUCCCAAGUAGUUGAUGUGCGGGAAGUUUUAGAUAGUCCUUGAGUCCCACCACACCUCAAGAUCACCCUGAGGUGAUCUCCUGAGCAGAGUGGAGAGAGGAGCUCUUGCUACACUUCUCUGUCAGUGGGGCUGCCAGGUGAGGCUGUUGUGCUUGUGUUAAAGGAGACCAGCCACUCUGUGUUCAGAUGUCCAGACAGCCGUGCUGACUGGAGGUGCCUCAUCACACUCCACUGGGUCCCAGUCCCCAGGCUCAGUGGUGAUGUGGUCCACGUCCCUGGGAAGCCGAGGUGGUAGUGUCUUAGGAAUCCUAGAACUUGGAGCAAGUCCCCAGUUCACCAGGCCUGGUUCUUCAUCACACACCCAGACCAACUCCAUGCAUGUGGGCACUGUGUGAUUCUCUCCCAAGAGUUCUGGUCCUAUGCUAUGGUCCUACUGACUUGACUGUGGUCAGGUCACUUGUCAGGUGCUUUCUGGCACACAUUGACUGGGCUUUCCUCUUGUUCUUGGCCUUUCCUAGCUGGAGAUCAGUGACUCUGAUAUUGCCUGGGGAACCUACAUUUUGCAUUUCACUUUCAAAGACUGCUGAGAAUUCUGCUUGUAGGCCCCAAAUCUCUAGAGCACUAUUUGCCCACUUCUGGAAUUUUAAAUAAGUGUGCCACCUACCAGCAAACAUUUUCCCACAGGAAGCAGAGGAGCUGCUCUAAAAUUAGGAGUCUAACUGCUGUAGCCCUGUUGCCUAGGGCCUGCAUACCUCCAAAACAGGAGUGCUUGCUAUCUGUGCCUGAGGCUGAGGUCAUCUGUAGCCAUAUUGAUGGGAAGCAGUGUCUAGAAUUCAUCAGGACUUCUACCUCUGCCUCAGGAGAAUGGAGAGUUCAUUCCAGCCAGGUCUGCCACAGCCUUAAGACAAUCUCCUAUUCAGGACUGUUGAGCAAGUCCACCAAUCCCCCUGACCUCAAAGAUGGGCUCUGCCACGUACAGCUUUUCAGAAAGCAGGACUUCUUAGAUGGUGCAUCUGAGAGCAAGACCAGUGAAGGCAGCCUUCCAGACACUCCCAAGACAAUCCCAGUACACAGCAAUGUCAUUUGGCCUGGGCAGUGUUCCUGUUGUUCUGGAAUGGCUGAUGAAAGGGCUCCUGCAUGCCUUUCUGGAUUGCAGUGGCUUUUGUUUGGAGGGCAUCCUCUUGUACUUGCAGGGGUUGGGUUCCAUGAGCCCCUGAUCUGACAGAGGCAUACUUCAGGCUAUCUCUAGGCCAGCUGUGAGAAACAAUUUUGAAAGUCUGAAGAUAAGAUUAACAGUUCCCAUCAUCUGUCUCACCAAGGCAAACUGCUCUUUGGCAGACAAGAUAUUUCCAUCCCAGAUGUCCAGCAGAUCCUGAAGUUCACAAGGUACAGCUGGUAAUCCAUUCCCAUUUUCCACUCUGGCCACCCAAAUAGUCAAACCCAGUAACCAGUUGGAAUACAGCACCUGGGUCUCAAGAGAAGAUUUCUACUGCUAGGACCUUGUGGACAACACUAUCAACUCACCUAACUGGUCUGUGAAGAAUUUGCCUUUGACUAUUCAUUAUACCCUUUCACCUAGCACACAGUUUCAUAGCAGCUUAUCCCCAUUAUUCUUUCCCAUUAAGCCCUCCUACCUUAACAGCUGGGAAGUACCUAAAGAUACCAUAGAUUACUCAAGCAGAUCUGGAAGGUGCCUCUGCAACAUAAUGAGCAAUUUAAAUGUUGACUAGAGACAGACAUCAGAGGAGACCAACCAAUGGGUGAUACCACAGACACUCAGAUAUAUAGGCAAAUCUGCCUUUGACAAAAAGAACCUUGCUAUAAGGAAUUAUUAAGGGUCAUAAAGGCCAUUGUUGCAUUACUACCCUGGCAUUCACUUAUUGUUCUCUUCCUGCCUCUGGUUAUGCCUGAACCAGCAUUGCCCUACCUCCUCCUUCAUUGCUCUUGCCAACAUUUGCCAACCUGAAAUCAGGAACCAUCCAUGUGGGGGUGAAAAGUGACCAGCAACCCUUGAUGCCACCUUAACUCCAAUAAACCAGUACACUGGGAUGGGUAUGGGCCAACCCUGAAAAUACAUCAGCCCCAUAUUUAUCGUGAUGCUUCCUCAGAUUUUAAGCCACAUGUACCAGAUAAAUGUUUUUGUCCUUUUAUUUCUCUAUUUUAAAAGAAGAGUCUCUAUAAAAAUAAUUCCUUUUAAGUUCUUUAAUUAGAUGUAAAUUUUAUAUCCAGCCCAAGUACAUCUCUUUUUCUUUCAUUCACUCAGAAACACGGAAGUGUCACUUGCGUGGAGAGUUGGAGAGAAGCCUGCAUCUCAAGAUUACAACAGAGUGUGAUAAGCAUAAUGAUAGGGACAUGUAGAAAGGGCUGUGGGAGCAACAAAGACCUUGCCAAAGGGGCCAGAGGGCAUACAGCGAAAAGGACGUUUGAACUACAUCUUCAGAAGUCAAAAUUUAGCAACAUAUAGACUCAAAAUUCUUUCCAAAGUAGAAUGCUGGCUAAAGCUCUUUCCCAUAAUUACUCUGGUUAGAUGAUCCACCUAAGCAUGUUAUAUGGCUUCUCUGUCAUUACAUGAUUUCACUGUCUUCUCGUGUGUUGCUGCAUUGUGACUUCAUACAUUCCAAGGGCAUUCCACAUGGCAACCAAAGGGCAGGAAGUGAGGACAGGGGGCCUUGCUUAGGGCUGUAGCUGUUAUAUGGCAGCCUUCCUUGCAGUCACAUUAUCCUUGUUUCCUCCUAUAACAUGGGAGAGUCUUUCUUUUUAGGGUUCAGUGGCUCAACAGGUUUGGAAGGAUUUGGUAAAGGGAUGCUUCCUUGAGUUCUACUGCUUGGAGAAGACAGGAAAUUUAGCAAGUCAAAUGGCAAAGGUAAAACCACUGUGGAAGGCUUCUCUGUGGACAAGGAUUGCAGGGUGUGGAGGUACCGAAGCUGAACAGCAGCUGGAGUGCCCGAUAGAAUCUCGGCUGCCAUCCUCAGGGACUCGGACGCAGCCUUCUCCCCUUCCGCAGCGAUCAUCUAGACAGGGGAUGUGAAGAAAAGCAAAGUGAUUUUUCUUCUUCACUCCAUGAAGGUUUUAAUCCUACUUAGUGUGACUCAACAAACAAGCACUGGUAUCUACUGUGUGACAGCAUGAUUCAUAAUGGUCCCAAACUGGAAACAACCCAGAUGUCCAUCAACUGAUGAGCAGAUAAACAAAAUGUGGUCUAGCCAGCUGAAAAUAGAACAGUAUUCGACCAUAGAAAGGAAUGAAGUACCGAUUCAUGCUACACCAUGGUUGGAUGCUGAAAACAUUAAGGUCACUGCAUCCAAGGCAACCUGUGGAAGGAAGAGUUUAGAUGUCAGUAAGAACCUCCGGGUGGGAGGAGAGCACCCCUAUGCACCGAUGGCCGUUGCACUGAGAAAGCACAUUUCUUCUGAAAGGACAUUAUGUACUUCCCUGUUUUUUUUAACAUUAUAGGGCCUUGCAAAAGUUGUUUAAUUUGCACAGUGCCACUCAACAGAUAUUUGUGGAAUUAAAGAUGGUGUGGUAGGCUGACUAAUGGCUCCUAAAGACAUCCAUGCCCUAAUCCCUGGAAACUGUGAGUGUUACCCCGAAAGAGACUUUGCAGAUGCAAUUAAGUUCCAGGCUGUUAAAAUGGGGAGUUUAUCCUGGAUCUUGCUGGUGGGCCCUAAAAGCCACUGCAAGUGUCCUUAUAAGAGGGAAGUGGAGGGACAUCUGGCUUCAGAAGAGGAGAAGGUGGUGUGAUGAUGGAAGCAGAGGUUGGAGUGCUGUGCUUUUAAGAUGGAGGAAGGGGCCAUGAUCUAAAGAAUGCAGGUGGCCACCUGAAGCUGAAAAAGGCAAGGAAAUGAAUUCUCCUCUCAAAACCUCCAGAAGGAACCAGUCCUGCUGACUGACACCUUGACUCUGGCCCAGUAAAACUUCUUUUGGACUUCUGGCCUUCAAAACUGUAAGGUUGGGACUUCCCUGGUGGUCCAGUGGUAGUGAA
This is a non-coding RNA of Delphinapterus leucas (beluga whale), 5710 nucleotides long. The record is from RefSeq and is a predicted model, not a curated record. NCBI's taxonomy places the organism in Eukaryota, Metazoa, Chordata, Mammalia, Artiodactyla, Monodontidae.